ACCAUCUCCCAAUCUGCGCGAUUGCACUUGGCUGAAGUAGUGUAAUUGUCGUAUAUGGUGAGAGAAAGAAACCUGAGUUGUGUGUGCACAUCAGAGAGACCCUGCUGUGGUCUCCCUGUUCCAUGCUAAAUUCUACACCU
Molecule: small nucleolar RNA, 140 nt
Organism: Melopsittacus undulatus (budgerigar)
Lineage: Eukaryota; Metazoa; Chordata; Aves; Psittaciformes; Psittaculidae
Source: Ensembl